UACGGAGGGUGCGAGCGUUGUCCGGAAUCAUUGGGCGUAAAGCGCAUGUAGGCGGUUUGUUAAGUCUGGUGUGAAAGCUCAAGGCCUAACCUUGAAAUUGCAUUGGAAACUGGCAAACUAGAAUACUGGAGGGGUAAGUGGAAUUCCAUGUGUAGCGGUGGAAUGCGUAGAUAUAUGGAGGAACACCAAUGGCGAAGGCAGCUUACUGGACAGUUAUUGACGCUGAGAUGCGAAAGCGUGGGGAGCAAACAGG
This 253-nucleotide ribosomal RNA is filed under the name uncultured bacterium. RNAcentral describes it as "partial 16S ribosomal RNA". It matches the Rfam family "Bacterial small subunit ribosomal RNA", at positions 524 to 776 of the family's 1533-position model. The record is from RNAcentral.